ANCANCCNCGGUAAUUCCAGCUCCAAUAGCGUAUAGUAAAGUUGCUGCAGUUAAAAAGCUCGGUAGUUGAACUUCAGACCUGACCGGGGCGGUCCGCCUAACGGUGUGUACUGUCUGGCCGGCGCCUUACCUCUUGGUGAGCCGGCAUGCCCUUCACUGGGUGUGUCGGGGAACCAGGACCUUUACCUUGAGAAAAUUAGAGUGUUCAAAGCAGGCUUACGCCGGAAUACAUUAGCAUGGAAUAAUAAAAUAGGACGUGCGGUUCUAUUUUGUUGGUUUCUAGAGUCGCCGUAAUGAUUAAUAGGGAUAGUUGGGGGCAUUUGUAUUGCGUUGCUAGAGGUGAAAUUCUUGGAUUUACGCAAGACAAACUAUUGCGAAAGCAUUUGCCAAGGAUGUUUUCAUUAAUCAAGAACGAAGGUUAGGGGAUCGAAAACGAUCAGAUACCGUUGUAGUCUUAACAGUAAACUAUGCCGACUAGGGAUCGGACGACCUCAAUAUUAUGCGUCG
Molecule: ribosomal RNA, 507 nt
Filed under: uncultured fungus
Lineage: Eukaryota; Fungi
Description: SSU rRNA
Rfam family: Eukaryotic small subunit ribosomal RNA
Source: RNAcentral